AUCUCAGACACAGGUCCCCUGGUCCAGACCACCCCGCUCGUCACUUUCCUCCAGCGCGUGCAACUCGAAGCACACCGGUCCUAUCCAAAUGAAAAAACCCCUGACCCCAAAUUCUACAUUGACCUAUCUCUCAAGCUUCCUCACCAUCUCUCCACCGUCGAGGCCGCCUUCAACGACCUCACGAGCGGAUCACGUGACCUACCAGUGCCAGUGAAGAAGCUUGAAAAGUUCGUCCAUGAAUACUUCGACGAUGCGAAGGAUCUGGUGCCUCAUGAACCAGAGGAUUUCGUCACAGAUCCCUUUGAGUUCCUCCUCAACGUGGAGAACGAUCAAGUCAGAGAAUGGGCACGUGAGGUGCACAGCCUUUGGAAAACACUAUGCUACAGAGUCUCUGACUCCGUGAGAGAGUCUCCUGACCGGCACACGCUUCUACCGUUGCCGGAACCGGUUAUCAUUCCUGGUUCGAGAUUCAAAGAAGUCUAUUACUGGGAUUCUUACUGGGUUAUCAAGUCAGUGUUCAUCAACUUAUUCAAAUCACAGAUCAGAUUAUAGUUCUUUAUUGUUUCUUCCACUCUUUUUUUAUAUUACGUGUUGACUACGGAACACGAGGUCACGUGUCUUGUCAUGUUAUAUGUGCUUUUGCACGUGCAGAGGACUUAUGACGAGUAAAAUGUUCACUACGGCCAAAGGUAUAGUGACGAAUCUGAUGUCACUUGUGGAGACUUAUGGUUACGCGUUGAACGGAGCUAGAGCUUAUUACACCAACCGAAGGUAACCAAAACUGAUCAUUUUCUAACAGUAAUAUAAUUGUUGUUGCUAUGUUAACAGAAUAUAAUAAAUGUUACUUUGAUAAUGUUACAAGCCAACCACCUUUACUGAGCUCAAUGGUCUAUGAGAUAUAUAACGUAACCAAAGAUGAAGAACUUGUGAGGAAAGCUAUCCCCGUUCUUCUCAAAGAGUACGAGUUCUGGAACUCAGGUUAGUUUUUUCAGUAGAGUUAUAUAAUGAUUUGGUGUGUUGUUCGGUGUAAUGUUGGUAAUAUUAUAUCUUUUAAUUUUGUAGGAAAACAUAAGGUGGUUAUUCGGGAUGCUAGUGGCAAUGAUCACAUGUUAAGCCGCUAUUACGCCAUGUGGAACAUGCCUAGACCUGAAUCCUAUGUUUUUGUAUGUUUCUUGUCUCGUUGCCGCAAGUAAUCUGUUUUUUUUUUACUGUAAAAAUUUGUUUACUCUAUCUCUAUGUGUACCACAGGAUCAAGAAUCUGCUUCAGCGUUUUCGAGUACGUUACAGAAACAACGGUUCCUUCGAGACAUAGCCACGGCUGCUGAAACAGGAUGUGAUUUCAGCACACGAUGGAUGAGGUUACAUUAAUUAUCAAAAAAUGCGACUAAAUAAGUUUAUCUUACUGUCACGCUUAAUCAAUCUCAAAUAAUAUAUGCAGGGAUCCUCCUAAUUUCGCAACGAUGGCUACAACAUCAGUUGUUCCUGUUGAUCUAAAUGUUUUUCUUCUCAAGGUUUCUCUAUUCUAUUAAUUAUGGUUUAAAGAUUUGUAGAGGCAUAUGCUUGAGUCUAGAAAUGAUUAUGUUUUGUGUCGUAGAUGGAACUCGAUAUAGCGUUCAUGAUGGGGAUUUGUGGGGAUAAAAACGGCUCAGAGCGUUUUGUGAAAGCGUCAGAAGCGUAUUUUUUUAUUAUUAUUUUUUUUCUGUUUGAUUUUUGUUUUUAAAAAAAAAAAAAAAAAAAUUUAUAACCGGACCAACCGCGGGCCGCCACGUGUUGUGGGACCCGCGCUACAGUGAUGAUCCAGGUUCAGUGCAGUGUAUUUUAAUAUUUUUUUUUCGAAAACUGUGUGAACUCCCCAUGGAGUUCACUAAUGCAGAUGCUCUUAGAUCCUUGUUUGAGGCUCAUUGAAAAUUUCCGUCCAAUUGCAUAUUGGCUUAGUACUACUACUACAUUGUUGAAAGGAUAAAUCCACUAAUGAAAAAUAAAAAAAGGCAAAAGAGUGCGCAUCCAGGGAAUCGAACCCUGGUCAGUACCGUGGGAGGGUACUAUGAUACCACUACACCAGAUGCGCUUGUGGUUAUUACACCAAUAUAAAACAAUACUAUUUAUAACAUUAAUAUCAAAAAUCUAUACCCCGUCAAAUGCGGGGGGUGAUACCUUUGCCAUUUGAGAUCGCCAAAAUCAAAUCUCAAUCAAAAUCGACGACUUCCCUCGCCCCCCUCGAUCUUGGUCUUCCGAAACCCUAAUCGGAUCGGAUCGGUAAGGCAAUGGACAAAACCACGAGCGUAAUCAGCAGCGCCUCGAUCAACUCCACCGUAACCUCAACGACUUCCAUGGAGAAGAUCAACCAGGCCGCGAGCUGCGUCAGCGCCUCCUUCAUCUCCGCUUUCUUCGCCUCCCUCGAGCGCUGCGCCUGCGUCAACCUCUCCACCUCCCAUGACGACGACGACGACGACGACAACGAGGAGUCCUACCACCGUCCCCUUGCUCUCUCCGCCGCGCCUCAUUCUCACGACACCCUUUAACCUCCCUUUUCAUCUCUCUGGGUAAUUGAAGAUCCUCUCGUGUUUUCUGUGUGUGUGUGUGUGUCUCGCAGCUCCCUGGGUUGAAUUCUCGUAAUGUGCUUAUGGAAAGUUCAGACCUUUUGGAUUGUAAAUGUCAGACGUUGAUUCUCUCUUCUUUCUUUUGUUUUGAUUCUCAUAUGCUUUCUCUAUCUCUGUGUACCUUAUGAUGAUCUUACUUGGGUUUUGAAUGAUUACUUAUGUUUGAUGUUUUCGAAUUAAACAAAUGCUCUAAAGAUCCUUCCUUUGAAGUUUUUUUAUGUGAUCUUUCAAGUUUUAGUGCCGGGACAUGUUAGUGUUUCACUUAGAUUAUGUUAUUUAAGAACUCUGUUAUAGAUAAUGCCUCUCUGCUUAGCACUAGUAAUGGCACAUUUUGGUGUGGGAUUAAGGCGUCAGUAGUGUCAAUGUCGUGUUUAUUUUCAAUUACCAAACAUUCAAACUUUGUCUGCUUAGCUUGAUUCCAAGGAGUCUUCCGUAUAGAGAAAAUAUUGUUCAAACGUCUUUGUCAUGUUAAGAAUAAUGUAUUAUAGGACCAUAUGAUGAUGAUAAGUCACUCUCAAACCUUUUUCCCUUGACUCUCACUUGGUGAUAGAUUGUUUUGUUCUUCAGUUUUCUUGAAUAUAGAUUCUAGAAGGUGCAUCUCUUAUUGCUGAAGAAGCAAAUAUGCUAUCUCAACAUUUGCUUCUUCAGCAAUAGGAGAAGCACUUUGUAAAUUAUGUACAUUUCUAGUUUAGAUUUUUGUACAUAGAGAAUAUCUUGCAAGUCCCUCAAAUGGUGUAACUACUCUGGCUUUAUAUGCCAAUCUAAUGAGAAUGAUUCCAGCAGGGAAGUUGUUAGGGUCACGAUAUUUUUUUCUUUUUUCUCCUAUCACAUCUUGCGUUUAUGUUUUGGGUGUGUUUCAUUUCGUUUUAGGGUUUAGGGAAUCAAAGAUAUAAAAAUAAUCACUUAAAAUGCAUUUUGUAUUGAAAAUGUUGUUACAAUGUUACAUCAUUCAUUUAUCAAAUCGGAAAAGUUUAGUCUGUGGACGGUUUGGCAUGCUUCAUCUAAUUAAGAAACAAAGUAGCCCCUCCUAUGAUGUGUUAAGCUUUAACUAUAAGCUAGAUCUUUUCAAAAUAAGACCACAGUGGUUACUUCUCAAUACAGUGAGAUUUGAACCUUUGAUAUUAUAUGGAAGUCACUUUCUAGUUUAAGAAUUUAUUUAUUUUUUUUGAAAUAUGUAUGUGUUGUUAUUGACCUCUUUGGAAACUGGUGCUUUAAUUAAGAUCAUAGUGAUCCAUCUGAGUCAACAAAAUCUAAUCGUUCUCAUCCUAAAACAAACAAUUGAUUUGAUAGUGAUCCAUCUGAGUCAGCCAUAGGUUUUGGUGACUCCUCUGGAAACCCUAUUCAAAUUCAAAAAUUUAGCAAUGUAUUUACACAAACAUAAGUGUAGUUAAAUCUCCAAACUCUUCUUAUCCUUCUCAUCUCCUUACAAAUCCUCCCUCUCUAUUCCUCUCCUUGCUUCCUUCAUAAACCCAAAACGUUUCAUUCCUCGGUUUGUCUUUUCCUACAUCCAUGGCAAUCUCAGACACAGGUCCCCUGGUCCAGACCACCCCGCUCGUCACUUUCCUCCAGCGCGUGCAACUCGAAGCACACCGGUCCUAUCCAAAUGAAAAAACCCCUGACCCCAAAUUCUACAUUGACCUAUCUCUCAAGCUUCCUCACCAUCUCUCCACCGUCGAGGCCGCCUUCAACGACCUCACGAGCGGAUCACGUGACCUACCAGUGCCAGUGAAGAAGCUUGAAAAGUUCGUCCAUGAAUACUUCGACGAUGCGAAGGAUCUGGUGCCUCAUGAACCAGAGGAUUUCGUCACAGAUCCCUUUGAGUUCCUCCUCAACGUGGA
RNAcentral lists this long non-coding RNA (4438 nucleotides) under Brassica napus (rape). RNAcentral describes it as "long non-coding RNA (BNAP_LNC002970)". Lineage: Eukaryota; Viridiplantae; Streptophyta; Magnoliopsida; Brassicales; Brassicaceae. The record is from RNAcentral.